UACGUAGGGUGCAAGCGUUAAUCGGAAUUACUGGGCGUAAAGCGUGCGUAGGCGGCUAUGUAAGACAGAUGUGAAAUCCCUGGGCUUAACCUAGGAACUGCAUUUGUGACUGCAUUGCUAGAGUGUGGUAGAGGGAGAUGGAAUUCCGCGUGUAGCAGUGAAAUGCGUAGAUAUGCGGAGGAACAUCAAUGGCGAAGGCAAUCUCCUGGACCUGCACUGACGCUCAUGCACGAAAGCGUGGGGAGCAAACAGG
Molecule: ribosomal RNA, 253 nt
Filed under: uncultured bacterium
Lineage: Bacteria
Description: partial 16S ribosomal RNA
Rfam family: Bacterial small subunit ribosomal RNA
Source: RNAcentral